UGCUAAAUCUCUUCAGUCGUGUCCGACUCUGUGCGACCCUAUGGGCUAUCUCCCCCCGCCCCCCGCCCCCCCCCCAACCCCCACUCAGGCUCCUCUGUUCAUGGGAUUCUCCAGGCAAGAAUACUGGAGUGGGUUGCCAUGUCCUCCUCCAGGGAAUCUUCCCAACCUAGGGAUCCAACCCGCAUCUCUUCUGUCUCUUACAUUGGCAGGCUGGUUGUUUGCCACUAGCGCCACCAGGUGGUAGACACCCUGAAACUAUACACAGCGCUCAGAUAUCCCGCAGGGAAGCAUUUCUCAGACCCGCCCCUACCCCGCAGACGUUCCCCCAACUUCCGCGUAGGCCAGGACGGGUCAUGUGCUUUUUCUGAGCCAAGCCCUGGACAAAAGAAGGGACUGAUCUGAUUGAUUUAUACUGUUUAGCGUUUACCCUUGAGCCACAAGGGAGGAAUGGCCUCGGGGGCUGGGGGAGAUAGGGAAGAAGGAAGGGGGCAUGGUAUAGCAACGUGAGCUGAAAGAGAGGCCGAGAAAACUGCAGAAUGGUUGAGAGCACAGGCUCUGGAGGGAGGGAGGCUUUCUUUCUCACCCAUGAUCCACCGCUUCCUAGCUGGCUUACCCUGGGCUCCUUGCAAGGCUUGGCUAAGCCCUGGUUUCCAGGAGAGCAAUAGGGUUGUUGUGGCAAAAAUAAAAUAAUCUCGGUAAAGCAGUCGGCAUAAUGUUUUGUGCAUAAUAAGCCUCCAGUAGAUGUUUACUAUUAUUGUUAUUGCUGUUACUGGUGUUAUUAAUAAAAACGACCUCAGGAAGUUCGCAAGGAGUCCACACGCAAUAACCGCAGCUGUCCAAGGCAGGAGGUGACUUCUUGCCAGGGAGUGAGCCCUCCCCUCCUUCUCUAUGCAAAGGAAAGAGAGAGGCUCUGGAAACACUGCUUUCCCUUCUGCGCAAGACUUGCGUCCAUUCCCAUGUGGACUGCUCAGCUGGGCCAGGAAUUUGGGAGGGGGAUCUGCACGGUGACUGAGCAACGCCUUGGUGGCAGGAGGACCCGAAAGAAAACAUAUGUGACAUCUCCAGCAAAUGAAAUUCAGAUUGCGUGCAGAAGAUUGAAUUCCUGUAGGAGUCAUUUAACUGGGGAAGACAGACCUCCCAUUACUUCACAUCACAGAGCUGCAGAGAAUUUUUUCCUGGCCUAAAAUGUUAGCCAUCUUGAGGAUAAACCUAGACAGUAAAUUUCUUCUGGCACCAAGAUUCUAAUGUCAGGUCUUAAGAGGCCACCAAAGCUACAAGACAGAAAGCAGUUCUUCAGUGGGCAGUGGAGCUGCUUGAAGAAGCACUAGAUAUUUCUGCAUCUCCUGGUAAUGUGGAGAUAGUCUCAGUGUACUUUUUUGCAGGAUAAAAUGUUCUGUGAUUGUAUAUGCUGCUGUAGUUUUCAUAGUGAGGUUAGCAGAUGUGACACAUCAAAAUGCUUGUUAAACUUUAAAAGCAAAGUCCUCUAACCCUGAUAUCAGUAAUAAAACUAUCCCGAGUGAUUCUUCA
RNAcentral lists this long non-coding RNA (1527 nucleotides) under Bos indicus x Bos taurus (hybrid cattle). Its description in RNAcentral is "lncRNA (ENSBIXG00000019244.1)". The record is from RNAcentral. Lineage: Eukaryota; Metazoa; Chordata; Mammalia; Artiodactyla; Bovidae.